This 468-nucleotide ribosomal RNA is filed under the name uncultured bacterium. RNAcentral's name for it is "bacterial SSU rRNA". It matches the Rfam family "Bacterial small subunit ribosomal RNA", at positions 28 to 507 of the family's 1533-position model. The record is from RNAcentral.
GAUGAACGCUAGCGGCAGGCUUAACACAUGCAAGUCGAGGGGCAGCGAGAGAGUAGCAAUACUUUUGUCGGCGACCGGCGGACGGGUGCGUAACGCGUAUGCAACCUACCUUAUACAGGGGGAUAACCUUUCGAAAGGGAGACUAAUACCGCAUAACAUUACUUUGAGGCAUCUUGAGGUAAUUAAAUCUUCGGAGGUAUAAGAUGGGCAUGCGUAGCAUUAGCUAGAUGGUGCGGUAACGGCGUACCAUGGCGACGAUGCUUAGGGGUUCUGAGAGGAAGGUCCCCCACACUGGAACUGAGACACGGUCCAGACUCCUACGGGAGGCAGCAGUGGGGAAUAUUGCACAAUGGGCGAAAGCCUGAUGCAGCAACGCCUCGUGAAGGAUGAAGGUCUUCGGAUUGUAAACUUCUAUCAGCAGGGAGAAAAAUGACGGUACCUGACUAAGAAGCUCCGGCUAACUACGUG